RNAcentral lists this ribosomal RNA (324 nucleotides) under uncultured eukaryote. Its description in RNAcentral is "partial 18S ribosomal RNA". It matches the Rfam family "Eukaryotic small subunit ribosomal RNA", at positions 1470 to 1796 of the family's 1831-position model. The record is from RNAcentral.
CCCUUAGAUGUCCUGGGCUGCACGCGCGCUACACGGAUGUGUCCAGUAAGCACCUAACCUCUUCCGAAAGGAACGGGUAACCUUUGCAAAGCACAUCGUGAUGGGGAUAGAUUAUUGCAAUUAUUAGUCUUGAACGAGGAAUUCCUAGUAAGCACAAGUCAUCAGCUUGUGUUGAUUACGUCCCUGCCCUUUGUACACACCGCCCGUCGCUCCUACCGAUUGAAUGUUCCGGUGAGCUCUUCGGACUGCGCGGUCUGCAGUUUCUGCGUUCCGUGCGGAAAGUUGCGCAAACCUUAACAUUUAGAGGAAGGAGAAGUCGUAACA